Molecule: ribosomal RNA, 498 nt
Filed under: uncultured bacterium
Lineage: Bacteria
Description: partial 16S ribosomal RNA
Rfam family: Bacterial small subunit ribosomal RNA
Source: RNAcentral
GACGAACGCUGGCGGCGUGCCUAAUACAUGCAAGUCGAACGAGAGCGACCGGUGCUUGCACUGGUCAAUCUAGUGGCGAACGGGUGAGUAACACGUGGGUAACCUGCCCAUCAGAGGGGGAUAACAUCCGGAAACGGAUGCUAAAACCGCAUAGGUCUUCGAGCCGCAUGGCUUGAAGAGGAAAAGAGGCGCAAGCUUCUGCUGAUGGAUGGACCCGCGGUGCAUUAGCUAGUUGGUGAGGUAACGGCUCACCAAGGCCGUGAUGCAUAGCCGACCUGAGAGGGUGAUCGGCCACAUUGGGACUGAGACACGGCCCAAACUCCUACGGGAGGCAGCAGUAGGGAAUCUUCCGCAAAGGACGCAAGUCUGACGGAGCCACGCCGCGUGAGUGAAGAAGGUUUUCGGAUCGUAAAACUCUGUUGUUAGAGAAGAACAAGUGCUAGAGUAACUGUUAGCGCCUUGACGGUAUCUAACCAGAAAGCCACGGCUAACUACGUG